CAGCAACAAAUAAAAGUAAGUGUGCAAAAUACUUUUAUUGAAUUCUUAUAAAAACACAAUGCAUUUCACAAAAAACAGGCUUUAUCAACUGACAAAGCCUGUUUUUUGGCGAAACGCGUUGUGUUUUUAAUAAGAAUGCACUAAAAAUGAUAAAGCCUGUUUUUUGGUGAAACGCGUUGUGAACACCGUAAGUACCAUUUUACCUUUCAAUGCUAUUUUUUAUACGGUAAACACUAU
Non-coding RNA from Pelobates cultripes (western spadefoot toad), 237 nucleotides. Lineage: Eukaryota; Metazoa; Chordata; Amphibia; Anura; Pelobatidae. The record is from the annotation of a GenBank genome assembly.